This 500-nucleotide ribosomal RNA is filed under the name uncultured Glomeromycotina. Its description in RNAcentral is "partial small subunit ribosomal RNA". It matches the Rfam family "Eukaryotic small subunit ribosomal RNA", at positions 591 to 1092 of the family's 1831-position model. The record is from RNAcentral. Lineage: Eukaryota; Fungi; Glomeromycota.
CCAAUAGCGUAUAUUAAAGUUGUUGCAGUUAAAAAGCUCGUAGUUGAAUUUCGGGGUUAGUAGGUUGGUCAUGCCUCUGGUAUGUACUGGUCUCACUGAUUCCUCCUUCCUGAUGAGCCGUAAUGCCAUUAAUUUGGUGUUGCGGGGAAUUUGGACUGUUACUUUGAAAAAAUUAGAGUGUUUAAAGCAAGCUAACGCUUGAAUACAUUAGCAUGGAAUAAUGAAAUAGGACGUUCGAUCCUAUUUUGUUGGUUUCUAGGAUUGACGUAAUGAUUAAUAGGGAUAGUUGGGGGCAUUAGUAUUCAAUUGUCAGAGGUGAAAUUCUUGGAUUUAUUGAAGACUAACUACUGCGAAAGCAUUUGCCAAGGAUGUUUUCAUUAAUCAAGAACGAAAGUUAGGGGAUCGAAGACGAUCAGAUACCGUCGUAGUCUUAACCAUAAACUAUGCCGACUAGGGAUCGGAUGAUGUUAAUUUUUUAAUGACUCACUCGGCGCCUUACG